CAGAGCUCGAAUUUAAAACUCCUUCUUCAGUCAGCAUGUGAGAGGAGCAUGUAAAUCUUUGAGGAGAUACGUGAUGCAAAAAUAAAUGUUCAUUAAAUCAUAUCUGCGUUUCUGAUCCCAAGCUCACACCUGCUUCCAAAUAGUGAGAGUGGCUCCCCGCUCCCUCCCCACCAAAGGGUAUUAAGGUGUGGGAUUCUGUUUUCAUUUUCUCUCUUCAUCAGCACUGAUAUCCAGUUUCCAUCACAGCUGUCAGGGCUGCUGAGCAGAGCCACAUGACAGGAUGCGUAGACUCAACUCGGCAAUGGCUCAGAUGGAAACAAACGCAUUAAUAAAAGAAGUAGCUGCAGUCUCUGUGGCUGAGGAAGAUGGAGUCUGGAGUGAAGGCUAGCCACCUCCGCAGGAAAACUUGGGGCAACUCCUUCCUUGGAGCUGAUAAAGAAACACACAGAGGAGAUGGCUAAUGGCUCAGUGGUAAAGAAUCCACCGGCAAAUACAGGAGGCGUCUAGAGCGUGGGAGCCGUAAGCACUGAAGCACAUGCGCCCUAGAGCCUGUGCUCCACAAAAAGAGAAGCCACUGCAAUGUGAAGCCCUCGCCCCUCGAAGAAGAGUAGCCCCUGCUCGCUGCAACCAGAGAAAAGCUGGCACAACAACGAAGACCCAGUACAGCCACAAAAAAGCUAAAUAACAAAUAAUUUAAAAAUAAAAAACUAAACAAACACACAGAGGGAAAAAGUUAUUUCUCUCUGCUAAAUUAGGACUGCCAGGGGACAGGUUCCCCUGCCACAAGCGAUCAGUAGGAGAGAACAACCGUGAGAGGAAGACCCAAAGCCAGAUGCGGAGAAAGAAUGGCCCCAGUGACCUCCAGGUCCGUCUCUUAGCUCCAGUUCCUGAAGCCCUGCCGCCAGGACUUUCUCGCGAAAGGCCCCUGGACGGUUACUUACAUGAGAAUCAUGCGGAUAUGCAGUUAGAAUUUCAUUGGCUUUUUUGCUAAGAGACUUUUCAUCUAAUAUUUGAUCAUGAAAUAAAGUAACAUUUUCUUCCUAACUGAGUGCAUCUGUUCAUUCACUGUCCCUCCAAGUUUUCUGUCUCAUGUUUAGGUUUAAUCCAUUUGAAGUCCACCCUGUCUGGGUUUCUCCCCAAAGUUCCAUUCAGACUAUCUGGUUUGGAAUUUUGGGGGGUUUCCUACAUCUGAGAAUUUGAGUCUUUCUACAAUUUUGGAAAUUUUGAGUAUC
This 1232-nucleotide long non-coding RNA is filed under the name Capra hircus (goat). RNAcentral's name for it is "lncRNA (ENSCHIG00000002424.1)". The record is from RNAcentral. Lineage: Eukaryota; Metazoa; Chordata; Mammalia; Artiodactyla; Bovidae.